RNAcentral lists this transfer RNA (86 nucleotides) under Candidatus Woykebacteria bacterium RIFCSPHIGHO2_12_FULL_45_10. RNAcentral describes it as "tRNA-Leu". It matches the Rfam family "tRNA". From Rfam's summary of the family: Transfer RNA (tRNA) molecules are approximately 80 nucleotides in length. Their secondary structure includes four short double-helical elements and three loops (D, anti-codon, and T loops). The record is from RNAcentral. Lineage: Bacteria; Candidatus Woykeibacteriota.
GCCGCGGUGGCGGAAUGGCAGACGCGCUACGUUCAGGGCGUAGUGUCAGCAAUGGCAUGGGAGUUCGACUCUCCCCCGCGGCACCA